UACGGAGGGGGCAAGCGUUGUUCGGAAUUACUGGGCGUAAAGCGCACGUAGGUGGCUAGGUAAGUCAAAGGUGAAAGCCCUCGGCUCAACCGAGGAAUUGCCUUUGAAACUGCUUUGCUUGAGUCCGGGAGGGGGGAGCGGAAUUCCCAGUGGAGCGGUGAAAUGCGUAGAUACUGGGAGGAACACCGGUGGCGAAGGCGGCUCCCUGGACCGGUACUGACACUGAGGUGCGAAAGCAUGGGUAGCGAACAGG
This 253-nucleotide ribosomal RNA is filed under the name uncultured bacterium. Its description in RNAcentral is "partial 16S ribosomal RNA". It matches the Rfam family "Bacterial small subunit ribosomal RNA", at positions 524 to 776 of the family's 1533-position model. The record is from RNAcentral.